AAUUCCCAGACCGAAAAGAGGAGAAAGAAUAACCUAAGAUACCACCAUCGAGAGAUCGCAUCAAGGAUAUUAGAAGCAAGAUCAUCUGCCAAGGUUUGGGAGAAAAGGAGAUGAAAGAGCCUGGAGAAGGUUAAACACUGACUACUACAUCACCCUUUCUGUUGCUGAAGAUAAGGCUAAAAUAAAAAGGGCUAUGUUUUACUUUAUGAAAGGUAACUUAUGCUUGUUAAAAUCUCAGGUUAUUCCACUAACAGUAACUUCUGGUAACAAUUGUAAGUGAACACUAACACUUUAAAAGAUGUUUAAAAAUGCAGACCUCAGUUUAUUUAAGAAGACUCUUUGAACAUUUUAAAAGUUCUACUCAUGCAGAGAUUUAAAUAAAACCCAGAACUUUCACUUGCUAUGCCAUAGGAAACAAGAAUUGGGUAGAACUUGCCUGUCUCCAAACCCAGCCACCAACUGGUUAGAGGCUGACAUCUUCGCAACUUUGUUUUCAGUGCAUUUACAUGGACUAUUAUAAUAUUAUUACUCAACCUCUGAACAUUACUGUUUGAGUCACCAGAGGCCUUACAACCUUUCAUUUUGAUUACAGUUUCGUUCUUCCGUCCCCAGUUCUGUUUGAUAAGAUGGGAUAAGUGAGUGGAAUGCAGUGGAGAUGAUGUCUCAUUUGUACUCCCAAUUUAACUCAAAACCUGCUCCUACUAUGAUUAUGCUUUCAAAGUGAAUUAUCUGUCAGAUUGUUCAGCAUUCCCUCUAACGGCCUGGCUCAGUGGAGAUGGAUGUAGUCUGCAGUGUCGCUCCUUGGCACAGUGCGGCCCAGGUGUUGCUGCACAGAGAAAGGCGAGUCCUCAGGAGCCCAGAGUCUGGCUUUGAGCCUGAGACUCCAUCAUAAUGCAGGUGUGGAGCCUCAGCUUCUGCACCUAUGGAACUGAAAUUUAAAAGUUUAACUUUUCUUUAAAAGUUUUAUGAUGAAUUUCCUUAGCCUCUUUACUAUAUUAAACUCCAACAUAGCAGAUUUCUGAUAGGCCACAUGUAAAUCUGUGAGCCACAAGUUACCAAAUACUCUAAACUCUCUCCUGUAUGAGGAACAGUAUUUUUUUUUUAAUGAACCAACCCCCAGGUUGCUUUCUCAAUUCCAUUCUUAUAAUAACGACAUCAUAUUUUAGGAAGCCACAGUUCUUGGACUUCUUACCAUGGUCAUGUUUAAAAGGUGAGGAGGCUGCCUGACCUGGCACUUGAAUAACAUUUCGCAAAUAGACCAAGCCUCUUAUUUAUAAUGUUGUUGUAAUUCAAAGAAACUGUUGGUUGUAACUUUAUUUUUCCCUCUUAGUGUUAAAUAUAUAAAGCCAAAUGCUUGUACGUGAUAGAAGUGUUUUCCCACCUGGGGCACUUUAUUCAGAUCAGUCUUAUGUGGGAACUGAAGAAAGUAAAUGUGUAUAGAUUGGCUAAAUAAAUAGAGAAACAGGCAUUCAGACGUAUGAAACAGGGUUGAGACCUAAUAAAAAUGGACCCUCAAAGAGGCAUACUUAAAAUGUAAGUGGAUUUUACAUAAAUAUCAGAGAAAAUAUUCUGUUGGCAAAAUAUUUUGUCCUGUGAAUGUGGUGCUUCUCCAUUAUAUGGAUAAAGUCAAGAAGUGGGAGUCCUUCAAUUCUUGACAUUUAAAUGUAUCCUGGACCUGGCUUGAGAAAACUCCAAGGGGAGUAAUCUUGCAGGUGAGUGGACUAGAAAACAUAAUAAAUCUUUUCCAUCACCAUAUUGCAUGUAUGGUCCCAUGAUUCAGUUAACCUCGAGGCUUAAGGGGUAUUACUUUUAGUAACAUUGAAUUCUCAUUUCUACUGGAAUGUUUUCGGUUUUCUUCCCUCCAAAUUUUGUUUCUUGGCCAAAAACAUCUACAUGAACAUUGUGGUAUCGUGUAUUUAGUAACUCAUCCGUUCUGCUAAUCAGAAGUCAUGUAAUCCUGUGUGUGUGCUUGAGCACUAGACAGUUGUUUAUGUGAUAAACCACAGGACUGUCCAUGGGUCUGUGGUCUGGUGGCUAUAUGUCAGAAUUAAAGCCUUUUGUUGGUUGUUUUGAACAUAUUGUUAUUCAUGGAAUGGUUUUUACACUGAGUCCAGAAUGUGGUUACUCUAAAGUCUUCACAAUAAUCAUAAAAAAUAAUUCCCAAGUAGCUAUACCUACCUAGAACUUAGUUAUGGUCAUGCCUGUUGUAUUACUCUUCAAAUUGUUAAUCUUUAAAAUAUAAACCACUGCCAUCUUCUCCCCAUGUAAGCACCUUUCACUCCCCAGUAUUCCUAAAUGUAUGACAACAAAAAGGCAAAGACAGCCCAGCAGCCCCCCAGCCCCCCAGGUGUAGAACUGUGUCACAUUGAGGACAAAGACUAAAACUCCACUUGAUAUUGCACAAGGGAUUUUAUAAAAGGUGACCAAAGUAACACCACACUGUAAACAUACUGGUCACCAAGAUUUACACCUAUUCUUUAGUAAGUUAAUAAAAAGUGGUGCAAGUGUCCAGAAGUCACUUAUUCUUUGAUAACAUAUACUAAGUAUUUGGAGUUUGAGAACUCAUGUAAGAAUAGCAUUACCUAUAGAGUCCUCUGUUAGAGAAUCAGAACAUCUGCAAGGUAAAGGUUUUACAUCUUUUUGGAUGUAAAUGAAAACCAUAAAGAUCUCAUAAAAGUAAACAUAUAAUGUUUUAAUGUAAGUUAUAUUCAGGAUACUAUUUUUGUCUAAGUUAAAAAAAAGGGGGGGGAGCAAAAGGAAAGGAGAAAGAACUGAAAUAUUCUCUUUAAUCUUAUCUAUCACAACAGAAUUCAUUUCUCUUCUCCCUUCCCCAAGUGCCUAGGCCCCAAAAUUGAAGGGAUUGGUCAGAGUUCCAUGGGCUGAAUUGUAAAUCUACUGAUGCUAAAGGGAAUUAAAUAACUAAAUUCUUGUAGCUCCUGAUGAGAAAACACCUAACAGAAAGUCUUAAGUCUGACACACUUUUCUUGGUUUACGCCAAAUCAGCAGAUCAUGCAAUUUGUUGCUUUCGCGGACUAAGCAUAGGCGCGCACACCCCUCUCCUGUACUUGUGCCGGCUCUAAUUCCCUAAAGAGAAAGCUGGAGAGUAGUAGAUCACUUGAAGGUUGGGAUAGUCCUGAUUAAUUGGCAGGAACGACUAAAUCCUAAUCCAGGGUUACUAACAUUGAGCAUUCUGUAAGUGUUCUUGCAAAAAAAAAAAGAAAAAGAAAAAGAAAAGAAA
Molecule: long non-coding RNA, 3238 nt
Organism: Phyllostomus discolor (pale spear-nosed bat)
Lineage: Eukaryota; Metazoa; Chordata; Mammalia; Chiroptera; Phyllostomidae
Exons: 3
Source: RefSeq, a predicted model, not a curated record